Molecule: ribosomal RNA, 398 nt
Filed under: uncultured bacterium
Lineage: Bacteria
Description: bacterial SSU rRNA
Rfam family: Bacterial small subunit ribosomal RNA
Source: RNAcentral
AAUCAACGCUGGCGGCGUGCCUCAGACAUGCAAGUCGAACGCGAAAGUCCCCUUCGGGGGACAAGUAGAGUGGCGCACGGGUGAGUAACACGUAGGUAAUCUACCUUCGGAUGGGGAAUAACAACCGGAAACGGUUGCUAAUACCGCAUAAUGCAGCGGCACCUAACGGUGACAGUUGUUAAAGCGGGGGAUCGAAAGACCUCGCGUCUGAAGAGGAGCCUGCGGCGGAUUAGCUAGNGGUAAGGUAACGGCUUACCAAGGCGACGAUCCGUAGCCGGCCUGAGAGGGCGGUCGGCCACACUGACACUGACAUACGGGUCAGACUCCUACGGGAGGCAGCAGUCGGGUAAUUUUGGGCAAUGGGCGAAAGCCUGACCCAGCAACGCCGCGUGAAGGAU